RNAcentral lists this ribosomal RNA (405 nucleotides) under uncultured bacterium. Its description in RNAcentral is "partial 16S ribosomal RNA". It matches the Rfam family "Bacterial small subunit ribosomal RNA", at positions 29 to 525 of the family's 1533-position model. The record is from RNAcentral.
AUUGAACGCUGGCGGCAGGCCUAACACAUGCAAGUCGAACGAGUGGCGGACGGGUGAGUAAUGUCUGGGAAACUGCCUGAUGGAGGGGGAUAACUACGGGAAACGGUAGAUAAUACCGCAUACCAUCGGAUGUUCCCAGAUGGGAUUAGCUAUGAGGUGAGGUAACGGACCACCGAGGCGACGAUCCAUAGCUGGUCUGAGAGGAUGACCAGCCACAGUGGAACCGAGACACGGUCCAGACGCCGACGGGAGGCAGCAGUGGGGAAUAUUGCACAAUGGGCGCAAGCCUGAUGCAGCCAUGCCGCGUGUAUGAAGAAGGCCUGCGGGUUGUAAAGUACUUUCAGCGGGGAGGCGUUACCCGCAGAAGAAGCACCGGCUAACUCCGUGCCAGCAGCCGCGGAAAUA